GUUGAAGGCCCUGCAAAGCAGCAUCGCGGUGGCGGAGCGUCGUUUGCGACGCCCAACACACAAAACAAGCGGUGAGUGCUUUGGGGUGGGGUGACUGCGUACCUUUUGUAUAAUGGGUCAGCGACUUAUAUUCUGUAGCAAGGUUAACCGUAUAGGGGAGCCGAAGGGAAACCGAGUCUUAACUGGGCGUUAAGUUGCAGGGUAUAGACCCGAAACCCGGUGAUCUAGCCAUGGGCAGGUUGAAGGUUGGGUAACACUAACUGGAGGACCGAACCGACUAAUGUUGAAAAAUUAGCGGAUGACUUGUGGCUGGGGGUGAAAGGCCAAUCAAACCGGGAGAUAGCUGGUUCUCCCCGAAAGCUAUUUAGGUAGCGCCUCGUGAACUCAUCUUCGGGGGUAGAGCACUGUUUCGGCUAGGGGGUCAUCCCGACUUACCAACCCGAUGCAAACUGCGAAUACCGAAGAAUGUUAUCACGGGAGACACACGGCGGGUGCUAACGUCCGUCGUGAAGAGGGAAACAACCCAGACCGCCAGCUAAGGUCCCAAAGUCACAGUUAAGUGGGAAACGAUGUGGGAAGGCUCAGACAGCCAGGAUGUUGGCUUAGAAGCAGCCAUCAUUUAAAGAAAGCGUAAUAGCUCACUGGUCGAGUCGGCCUGCGCGGAAGAUGUAACGGGGCUAAACUGUGCACCGAAGCUGCGGCAGCGACGCUUAUGCGUUGUUGGGUAGGGGAGCGUUCUGUAAGCCUGCGAAGGUGUCCUGUGAGGGAUGCUGGAGGUAUCAGAAGUGCGAAUGCUGACAUAAGUAACGAUAA
Molecule: ribosomal RNA, 813 nt
Filed under: Salmonella enterica
Lineage: Bacteria; Pseudomonadati; Pseudomonadota; Gammaproteobacteria; Enterobacterales; Enterobacteriaceae
Also listed under: 1 other name
Description: partial 23S ribosomal RNA
Rfam family: Bacterial large subunit ribosomal RNA
Source: RNAcentral